RNAcentral lists this transfer RNA (56 nucleotides) under Globodera rostochiensis. RNAcentral describes it as "tRNA-Trp". Lineage: Eukaryota; Metazoa; Nematoda; Chromadorea; Rhabditida; Heteroderidae. The record is from RNAcentral. RNAcentral also lists the same sequence under 1 other name.
GGACUUUUUAUUUUAUAUAGAAUUUUUGAUUUCAAAUCAGAAGGAGUUAAGUUGUU